CAGCUUUUGACAUCCCGGUCGCGGGCACCAGAGAUGGAGCCCUUCAGUUCGGCUGGACCGGAGACAGGUGCUGCAUGGCUGUCGUCAGCUCGUGUCGUGAGAUGUUGGGUUAAGUCCCGCAACGAGCGCAACCCUCGCCCUUAGUUGCCAUCAUUUAGUUGGGCACUCUAAGGGGACUGCCGGUGAUAAGCCGGAGGAAGGUGGGGAUGACGUCAAGUCCUCAUGGCCCUUACAGGCUGGGCUACACACGUGCUACAAUGGCGGUGACAGAGGGACGCAAAGGAGCAAUCCUUCGCAAAUCUCAAAAAGCCGUCUCAGUUCGGAUUGUGCUCUGCAACUCGAGCACAUGAAGUUGGAAUCGCUAGUAAUCGCAGAUCAGCACGCUGCGGUGAAUACGUUCCC
RNAcentral lists this ribosomal RNA (402 nucleotides) under uncultured soil bacterium. Its description in RNAcentral is "bacterial SSU rRNA". It matches the Rfam family "Bacterial small subunit ribosomal RNA", at positions 975 to 1375 of the family's 1533-position model. The record is from RNAcentral.